UGAUUUGCUUAUAGGAGGAUUUGUGUGAAGGCCAACUACCAUCCUCAAGCAUCUUUCUUCUUGGAGACUUCGGUGGUGGAAGACGCAUCUAUACCGGUUGUUCUUUGUCAAUUUAGAGGAUCUUUUCAUCCGAGUGAUCCUAGCUUCAGACCUUGAAUUUUUUUAGUUGAGGGUUAGAUUCGGAAGUAUCUCAAGAACCCAACCUUGUAGUCCGAAGCCAGUACAUCUCCAUUCCUGGCUCGCCCAGCUAGGAGAAGUCCUAGCCAUGUGCACAUGUUUUCUGUAGUAGCGCUACCCUCCGAUUGGGGUCAAAAAUCCAGCUUCGGCUAUUGAUAUUUUGUUCUGUUCUGUUCCGACUUCACAGUCGAAGAUCCAGUUUCGUGUUGUUAAUUUUUGUUAUUAGUCAGGAAGAUGUACACGUCUGUUUUCUCGUAUUUUUUGUGCUUCUGAUUAUUUCUGUACUCUAAGCAUUUUUUACAUUUCUAUCUGCUUUAAUUAUUCUGCAA
Dioscorea cayenensis subsp. rotundata (Guinea yam) is the source of this 506-nucleotide long non-coding RNA. RefSeq lists it as uncharacterized. The transcript is spliced from 3 exons. Lineage: Eukaryota; Viridiplantae; Streptophyta; Magnoliopsida; Dioscoreales; Dioscoreaceae. The record is from RefSeq and is a predicted model, not a curated record.